Non-coding RNA from Cyanistes caeruleus (blue tit), 1722 nucleotides. Lineage: Eukaryota; Metazoa; Chordata; Aves; Passeriformes; Paridae. The record is from RefSeq and is a predicted model, not a curated record.
CGGUGGGCGGGGCUAAACAAAAGGGCGUGGUCAGAAGCGAUCGCGCGCUGUGAUUGGUGGGCAGGAACAGCGCGGUGUUUCCCUGGUCACGUGAGGGCCGGGGGAGUUGGAGCGAUGGCGGCGGCGUCUGGUGGGACCUUGUGAGUGCUGCUGAGCGAACUCGCGACCCGAUCACGCUCCAGCCGGCACCGAGGGAUUCUCGGGGAGCCCAUCAGCCGCGACCGUCUCCGCUGCUCACAAUGUCCCCGGGAGAGAAAGGUAAGGUGCUUUACUUUGGUUUUGGUGCCUGCCAGUUAGACGUGGCGAAAGCUGCGCGUGGUUGGGCUAAAGGAAUUCCUCUUGGUAAAGCCUAGGCGCCGUCCGUAAGACGACUGCGAAAGCGUCGCAGGUUCGGCAUUUGUGGUAUAUUAUAGUUAUAAUAUGGAGAAGGGUUUUGGGCUGCUAUGCUCCCAUACCGGGUACUUCUCCUUUGGGGUGCUUAUUAGCACAUUGGAAACAAGGUAACUUUGGAGAAGAAUUACAUAAGACUAAGAUAAUUUCAGCCAGAUCUCCCACAGAAAAAGACCCCAGCAAUCCCGUCUCAUCUGUUAGUAGCUAUAACCUCUUCUCUCUUUCUUUACUUUGCUUUCCUUAUUUCUCUCUCUCUCUCUCUCCUCUAUCGCAUAACCCUUGUUGUUGGCACUAAAAUAAAGGUACAUUAUUGUUGUUGUGAUUUAAACUGAAAUCCCUUUGUGUCCUUUUGCACUCUGAGAUCAAACAAACCUCUCAUGAGCCUCACUUGCAUUAGCGAAUCAUGACAUCUAAAUUGGCAUCAUGGACAGGAUUUCUGACAGACAGAAGGGGCUGCAGGUUUGUUGUGCAGUCUGUAUUAGGGGAAAGACGUUUUGCUCCAGCCGCACCUAGCCUGACACUCCCAAAAGAGUGAGCGGUGUCUAGAAAGCAAGGGGGGCGAGUCGGAUUUCCCACAAACUGCACACGCCGAGGUAAAAAGCACCCCACACUCACUUGAGGGCUCUGUCUGCAGAAUUUCACAAAAGCUCUCUUAGUGCCAAAGGGCUGGAUUGUUUUUGUUGUUGUGUGUAUGAAUUUUGACUGUUUGGUGUAGCAAAGAGACAACCAGAAUUUUAAACUGAAGGAGUGCCUUCCAAGCAGAUUUGGUCUUUUUACCCAUACAGGGAAGCAAAGUUGUUGUGUGUGUGUGUAUAGUUUAAGUUUAUACCUCCCUGUAGUGGUUUUUCUUUUUGUAAAAAUGACUGAAAACAGCAGUGCAAAAGUUAAAACUGCAUUUUAUGCAUGUUAUGCUCUGUUAGCAAAACACAGUGCCAGACCUUCUCCAGGAGGGAAAAGUUGGUGCUCAGUAAUUGGUUUAAUUUGGAAAAUGUGAUUGAUAGAGUAUGUUCUUUACAACAUGAAACAAAAUUUAAACUGGGAAAAAAUGAAACAAGAGAGGGAAACCCCUCUCAUUAAUCAAAUUUACCCUCAAAAAGAGCUAACUUGGAUAAAAUUGUGGGGAACACUGCUGUCCUAGUUUGAAACCUCUAAUUAAGAAUAUAAUUUUUAAUGAGAUAAUAUAAAUUUUAUAAUAUAAUUAUAUAAUAUAUUAUAUAAUAUAUUAUAAUAGAAUAUAAUAUACUAUUACUACUACAUUAUAAUAGUAUAUAAUUAUAUCAAUGAUAAGGAUCUUGGUCUGCAUAUAACUACUAAAAUAGAAAUAAAAAUAGG